Molecule: long non-coding RNA, 979 nt
Organism: Oncorhynchus keta (chum salmon)
Lineage: Eukaryota; Metazoa; Chordata; Actinopteri; Salmoniformes; Salmonidae
Exons: 5
Source: RefSeq, a predicted model, not a curated record
GACCACUACGGUGGGGUUAGACCACUACGGUGGGGUUGAUGUCUGGGUGAGGAGGUCACUAGACCACUACGGUGGGGUUGAUGUCUGGGUGAGGAGGUCACUAAACCACUACGGUGGGAUUAGACCACUACGGUGGGAUUAGACCACUACGGUGGGGUUGAUGUCUGGGUGAGGAGGUCACUAGACCACUACGGUGGGAUUAGACCACUACGGUGGGGUUGAUGUCUGGGUGAGGAGGUCACUAGACCACUACGGUGGGGUUAGACCACUACGGUGGGGUUAGACCACUACGGUGGGGUUGAUGUCUGGGUGAGGAGGUCACUAGACCACUACGGUGGGGUUAGACCACUACGGUGGGGUUAGACCACUACGGUGGGGUUGAUGUCUGGGUGAGGAGGUCACUAAACCACUACGGUGGGGUUGAUGUCUGGGUGAGGAGGUCACUAAACCACUACGGUGGGGUUGAUGUCUGGGUGAGGAGGUCACUAAACCACUACGGUGGGGUUAGACCACUACGGUGGGGUUGAUGUCUGGGUGAGGAGGUCACUAAACCACUACGGUGGGGUUGAUGUCUGGGUGAGGAGGUCACUAAACCACUACGGUGGGGUUGAUGUCUGGGUGAGGAGGUCACUAAACCACUACGGUGGGGUUGAUGUCUGGGUGAGGAGGUCACUAGACCACUACGGUGGGGUUAGACCACUACGGUGGGGUUAGACCACUACGGUGGGGUUGCUGUAUGUCUGGUGUUUAUCUUAGCGGUUCAAAUCACACUUCUUAGGUGCUCCUUUUUAGUAUGUAGUCGUCAGAAGUGUCUUCACUAACUUUUCCCCCAAGAUACUGUCCCAUCCCUCUCUCCCAUCCCCCUUUGACAAAUACCCUCUCCCUUUGACGAGUACCCUCUCACUCCCCAUCUUUGACGAAUACCCUCUCCCUUUGACGAAUACCCUCUCACUCCUCGUCUUUGUCGAAUACCGUCUCC